RNAcentral lists this transfer RNA (65 nucleotides) under Gregariella coralliophaga. Its description in RNAcentral is "tRNA-Met". The record is from RNAcentral. Lineage: Eukaryota; Metazoa; Mollusca; Bivalvia; Mytilida; Mytilidae.
GGCAAAGUGGUCUAAGUUUAUAGGAUGUGGGGCUCAUGCCCCCAAGGUGUUAUCAACCUUUGUCU